RNAcentral lists this ribosomal RNA (242 nucleotides) under Trypanosoma noyesi. Its description in RNAcentral is "partial small subunit ribosomal RNA". It matches the Rfam family "Eukaryotic small subunit ribosomal RNA", at positions 398 to 631 of the family's 1831-position model. Lineage: Eukaryota; Euglenozoa; Kinetoplastea; Trypanosomatida; Trypanosomatidae. The record is from RNAcentral.
GAGAAAUAGCUACCACUUCUACGGAGGGCAGCAGGCGCGCAAAUUGCCCAAUGUCAAAAAAAAACGAUGAGGCAGCGAAAAGAAAUAGAGCCGACAGUGCAUUUUGUAUUGUCGUUUUCAAUGGGGGAUAUUUAAACCCAUCCAAAAUCGAGUAACAAUUGGAGGACAAGUCUGGUGCCAGCACCCGCGGUAAUUCCAGCUCCAAAAGCGUAUAUUAAUGCUGUUGCUGUUAAAGGGUUCGA